UACCAGAAUUUAGACCAUCUGUAUAGCCUUCCGAGUAGCCUUCUUUGUAGUGGGUUUGUGAGUGUCCUCUAGAUUCAAUGAUGAGUCAGAAAUGUCGUCAACUAUAUUUACAGUCUGAGAAUUCAUGAAUGCGUCACCAAGACUGUCAAAUGUUGGAAUACUCUGUUGGAGAAGAAAACAUUGAAGCGUGAUUUGGUUCAAUGACCAAAGGCAUUACUUUCUAAGCAAUAGAAAAAGAUGAACAGUAAAUGCUCAGAGAUGUCAAAGGCUGACAUAGCAGCAGCAACAAUACACCCAGUGUAAUCCCACAAGUG
Molecule: long non-coding RNA, 314 nt
Filed under: Capsicum annuum
Lineage: Eukaryota; Viridiplantae; Streptophyta; Magnoliopsida; Solanales; Solanaceae
Description: long non-coding RNA (CANN_LNC008953)
Source: RNAcentral